This is a long non-coding RNA of Nicotiana tabacum (common tobacco), 782 nucleotides long. RefSeq lists it as uncharacterized. The record is from RefSeq and is a predicted model, not a curated record. Lineage: Eukaryota; Viridiplantae; Streptophyta; Magnoliopsida; Solanales; Solanaceae.
UCCUCUUAUAAUGGUUUCCAAUCGUUUCUAACAAACCCUUUAUUCUGCUGCUACUCUCUUUUCCAUGGGAAAAAAGUUAUUACUCUUUCCUUUCUUUGCAAUUUGGACAACCCUAGCCAAUGUCAAAAUUGCAUCACAUGUGGUGAUCUGAAUUGAAAUCCAAUAGUUGCCAUUCAAGUUGGUAACUUAAGCGACAAAAAAGGCUGUAGAUGUUGUCACAACAAUUUCAAGCUUUUCGUCACUUGGCCUCACUUUUUUGGUGCUUCAAUCACAAAGGAGAAGAGAAGUAUUUUUUUUCCAGUAAAAGAUCAACCACUAUUAUCAUUACUUGACAAAUAGUGUUGAUUUGUGACAAAGUUUAACAUCGGAAGCACAAGGUAGACCGGUGGUAGUGAUGGUGGCUCUACCCCUACUUCUUCCAUUGAGGUUUUGAGAGAGUAUGAGUCGCUAGGGGUACUCCGGUGAAAUUCUUUACUCUUUGUCAUUUUCCAUUCCAUUUGGAUUUCACAGUGUUCGUCUUCAAAUUGAUAUUCGGUUUUGGCAAGGUAUGAGUUUAAGUAUAUGGAUUUGGGUGAAACUUUUAUAUCUUCUUCUUCUUCUUCCUCCUCAUCCUCCUUACCAUUUGGAUGUCACAAUAUUUUUUUGAGAGUGAUUUGUAAGAGACAGAGAUUGAAAAAAGGAAAACUAAGAUAAUUAUGUUACGUUGUAUGAUUGUUGAAAAGAUAGAAAGCACAAUUAAUACGAAUUAUCACUCUCUUCACCUUUCCUUCUUAAGGUAAUAA